UAGAGAGAGAGAGCGAGGAAGCGCGCGGCAGGUUCUGCGCGCGCGCGGCAUUGUGAUUGGCCGCUCGGCUGCCUGCUGCUGGAGUGACGUCACUGCAGGAGAGAAGUGACAGAGGAGGAUGCAUUUAGUGAGAAACUAGACACUUCCAGGCUGGAGAGAGAGAGCAUCACAUCCACAGAGCUCAGGCGGAACGAGAGCAUCGCAUGCGGGUUACAUUCGCGCACGCUUUAAUAAAACAACCGCGCAUGUCCUCCCGUAUCCGUGCGUUAACACUGUCAUCAAGCUUUUCAAGAGAGGACUUCCCCAUCUUGGAAAUAAACCUGCCUGUUCCGUUCUGUGGAUCGUCUGGGUGACGUUCGAGGGUUGAAUACUUGAGGACUGCGACUUUUUCAACGGGAAAACGCAUCGUCGGAGAGAUGGCACAGACGAGUGUGGUUUUAACAAAAGAGAGAUUUUUUGCGUCGUGCUCUUUAACGCAAGACGCACGGGAACCUCUAUUUGUCCCCAACACACUGGCACUCGUACCUUACUUUCAGACAGAGAGGAAUAUGCGCGUCGUUUUGAAAACGUCAACUUUACAAGAUGUUCCGAGUCUACAAAGUGUUACAGGAGGUGGUUGCUAUCUUUGGUUAUCUAGCUGUAUGAGUGUCUAUCUUCCUUCAUAAAGCUAGAUAACCGAAAGUAGAAACGUCCUCUUUCACUGCACAGCACACAAGUUCAUUGGGAAAACUGCACGUGAGAGUUCAAAGCAUGAGGCACUCAAAGCAAUGUGUUUUCGUGAAAGACCAGAGGACUAAAGCUUAAAACUACACCAUCCGCAACUGCCAGCCAUUUACACACUGCCUUUUUGGAGUAAGAGGGUGAGAGGAAAAAAUGGUGCAAUUGUCCAAAUGAAAGAAAAGGGGAAAAAAGAAAAAUAAUAGUCAACCCUCAUCCUUCUACCAGCUCCCCUCCCUUCCCGUCGUCAACGGAAGCAUUUAGUGCCAUCUGUGCCCCGGAGAAAAGCAAAAAGAAAGGAGUGAGACUCUACAUCCCAAGUGCCAACGGGGACAAAGAGGCUGCCAGUUGCCAUGGACCACCAGAUGCUGGGAGACUGCAACACUGAAUGAGGGGUGUGCUUGCAGGAAGCCAUCUUGAUGGAGAAACUGGCUGCUGCUCCCUAAAAUGGCUGUGUUGGCAUGAGGCUCCUGGCAAUGAUCAAAAAGGCGGAAAAAAUCACUGUCAACAGCUGCUGAAAAAACUGAGGCCGUGCAGCUAUUUUUAACAGGGACGGUCAAUCACAGCACCUCAGGAAUCCAGCAUCCUGCAUUUAAUUAACGGAAACCUUUCAUCCUUCAGAUUUCUGACUGAUAUGUGUGAAUGUAAAGAGGACAUGCUGUUUACCCAGUUAAAUUGUAGAUAUUAAAACAAAGUGUUGUCAAGUGAAGAGAAUAAUGUGCAUUAAUGUGUGAAAUGUUUACAAAGUUGACAUUGUUAAAUGUCUCUGCUGUCAAUGUCUGUGUUGGCUAUAUCAAGAAACUGUAUUCUCCUUCAUGUUGGAGAUCGAUUCAAAUGUGUCUGUUUUCUUUAGACGGAUAUUUAAGCAGCGCACUCAAUCAGGUAAAUUUAAAAGUUUAUUUUUAUGUUUAAUAUUGGAAUUAUGAACUUCUGUGCUCUGUCAUAACGAUUCAUUUUCUUGAAAUAAAGCCUUAAAUUAAAAACAAAACUUUGGUUAUUGA
Long non-coding RNA from Triplophysa rosa, 1718 nucleotides. RefSeq lists it as uncharacterized. NCBI's taxonomy places the organism in Eukaryota, Metazoa, Chordata, Actinopteri, Cypriniformes, Nemacheilidae. The record is from RefSeq and is a predicted model, not a curated record. The transcript is spliced from 5 exons.